This 379-nucleotide ribosomal RNA is filed under the name uncultured eukaryote. RNAcentral's name for it is "partial 18S ribosomal RNA". It matches the Rfam family "Eukaryotic small subunit ribosomal RNA", at positions 592 to 976 of the family's 1831-position model. The record is from RNAcentral.
CAAUAGCGUAUAUUUAAGUUGUUGCAGUUAAAAAGCUCGUAGUUGGAUUUCGGAUGGGACUUGCCGGCCCGUCGUUUCGAUGUGCACUGGCCAGUCCUAUCUUGUUGUCGGGGACUAGCUCCUGGGCUUCACUGUCCGGGACUAGGAGCUGACGAGGUUACUUUGAGUAAAUUAGAGUGUUCAAAGCAAGCCUACGCUCUGAAUACAUUAGCAUGGAAUAACACGAUAGGACUCUGGCUUAUCUUGUUGGUCUGUGAGACCAGAGUAAUGAUUAAGAGGGACAGUCGGGGGCAUUCGUAUUUCAUUGUCAGAGGUGAAAUUCUUGGAUUUAUGAAAGACGAACUUCUGCGAAAGCAUUUGUCAAGGAUGUUUUCAUUAA